AGUCGAGCGACAGAUGAGAAGCUUGCUUCUCUGAUGUUAGCGGCGGACGGGUGAGUAACACGUGGGUAACCUACCUAUAAGACUGGGAUAACUCCGGGAAACCGGGGCUAAUACCGGAUAAUAUUUUGAACCGCAUGGUUCAAUAGUGAAAGACGGUUUCGGCUGUCACUUAUAGAUGGACCCGCGCCGUAUUAGCUAGUUGGUAAGGUAACGGCUUACCAAGGCGACGAUACGUAGCCGACCUGAGAGGGUGAUCGGCCACACUGGAACUGAGACACGGUCCAGACUCCUACGGGAGGCAGCAGUAGGGAAUCUUCCGCAAUGGGCGAAAGCCUGACGGAGCAACGCCGCGUGAGUGAUGAAGGUCUUCGGAUCGUAAAACUCUGUUGUUAGGGAAGAACAAAUUUGUUAAUAACUGAACAAGUCUUGACGGUACCUAACCAGAAAGCCACGGCUAACUACGUGCCAGCAGCCGCGGUAAUACGUAGGUGGCAAGCGUUAUCCGGAAUUAUUGGGCGUAAAGCGCGCGUAGGCGGUUUCUUAAGUCUGAUGUGAAAGCCCACGG
This 565-nucleotide ribosomal RNA is filed under the name uncultured bacterium. RNAcentral describes it as "bacterial SSU rRNA". It matches the Rfam family "Bacterial small subunit ribosomal RNA", at positions 60 to 607 of the family's 1533-position model. The record is from RNAcentral.